Molecule: ribosomal RNA, 414 nt
Filed under: uncultured microorganism
Description: bacterial SSU rRNA
Rfam family: Archaeal small subunit ribosomal RNA
Source: RNAcentral
CAGCAGCCGCGGUAAUACCGGCGGCCCGAGUGGCGGUCACUAUUAUUGGGCUUAAAGCGUCCGUAGCCGGGUUGGGAAGUCCUCCGGGAAAUCUGGCCGCUUAACGGUCAGAAUGCCGGAGGAUACUCCCAGCCUAGGGAGCGGGAGAGGCCGAGGGGAUUCCCGGAGUAGGGGGGAAAUCCUAUAAUCCCGGGAGGACCACCUGGGGCGAAGGCGCUCGGCGGGAACGCGUCCGACGGUGAGGGACGAAGGCCAGGGGAGCAAACCGGAUUAGAUACCCGGGUAGUCCUGGCUGUAAACGAUGCGGACUUUGUGUCGGACAAGCUAUGAGCUUGUCCGGUGCCGGAGGGAAACCGUUAAGUCCGCCGCCUGGGGAGUACGGCCGCAAGGCUGAAACUUAAAGGAAUUGGCGGG